This is a long non-coding RNA of Drosophila pseudoobscura, 849 nucleotides long. RefSeq lists it as uncharacterized. The record is from RefSeq and is a predicted model, not a curated record. The transcript is spliced from 2 exons. NCBI's taxonomy places the organism in Eukaryota, Metazoa, Arthropoda, Insecta, Diptera, Drosophilidae.
CGUGCUCCACGGCCAGCUGGACGGCAUUGCUGGUUUGUGUUAUCCGAAAGCGAUCGGAGUUCUCAAUGGGUAUCUCCCCACGGCUCCUGAAAGUGAAAGAUUAAUGCCACACCAAGAAGUGGCCAUGAUCCGGUACGGACGAGGCCGAGGACAGCGUGCCGUUGAUCUGUUUAUGUUCGUUGCACUGACAGCAUUUGGAACAUCCGUUGCCCAUGGCGUUCGACUGGCUAGGGCCUGCUUAUAAUUUCUGUUCAAAUAAUAACCGCCCGCCAGCUAUUCGGUUCUCGUUCUCUUGUUCUCGUUCGCUAUUUUCUUUUGAUUGAUUGAUUUGUCUAAUUUUAAAACAUAAAAGAAGGUUAGAUGCCUUCAACACUCUUGCAGUCCCAGAUCGUAAAUAUGACAGCUAUAUGAUUAAGUGAUCAGAUUUUAAAUUGAAAUUUGUAGUAAAAUCAUUUACAAAACAUAAAGUUUGGUCUGCUUUUAGAAACAAGAAACUCUCACAAAGACUUGUUGUAUGAGAACGAUCAAUCCUGGGCAAUAUAUCAGAUUUGUUGACUAUCAAACUAAAAGACUAGCUUACUUAUCGACAACACAUGACUAUAUUCUUUAAAGGAUCGGAAAUACACGCUUCUCUACGUGCUUCUCACUAUCCCCAAGAGUAUAAUGAACAUAUAGUACACGUGCCCGCGUAUCUAUCGAAACGUCAUUUAUUUAUUUUGGCAGGAUUAUUGACCAAUAAAACAGAACCUCAUAAAACAAAACAAUGGAAGAGAAAAAUGACUGAAAAUAGCUUUGAACCGAAACAAGAAUGUUUAUAAAUAAAUGCUCAAACUUUCGGCAGUGCGAGAA